GGGGCGUGGCCUGGACGGCAGGGCGCGGCCUGGGCAAGGUGGGCAUGGCCCCCUCACAGGACAAGAAGCAGAGGACACACAGGGCCAGGGAUAGGUGGUGAUGUAACUGACCUGUCAGGUAAGGGUCAGUGGUGUGGGCGGGGUCAGGAGAGAAGGGGCGGGGCCACGCACAGUACAGGAAGUAGAAGACAGCAUGGCGGGGACACAAAGUGAAGCAGGGGUGUGGCAAGCGAGGGAGGCUUGGCCUAGACGUAAGGGCGGGACCUCGGCGGGGUGGGCGUGGCCCCACACAGCACAGGAAACAGAGCUCACACAAGGGUGAGAACAAGAAGUAACAUCACUGAGCAACCACUGUUGGGGUAAACCUGAGGGCACGGCCAGCAAGAGUGGGCGGGGUCCCCCCGGGCCCUGCCCACCUGCAGGAAGGGCACAAAGUCCUCCUGGAUGAGGCCACUACACCCGGGGUGGCCCAGCAGCCGCACGAACCGCGCAGCAUCAUCAUGGCAGGAAGUCCCUCUCCUUCGGACGUGAUUGACAGGAUCGACUUCCUACGGCUUCGUACAGACACAAGGCCCUGCGCACCCACACUGGCCCUUCCCCCCUGCGGGCUGUCCCUCACGCACUCACCGUCCUGGGUCCCGUCGUUCUCAGCGCGGGCCGCGGCAGCGGUCGGGAGGCGGGGUUAGGGUCGGAGGUCGUGUUUCCGGGGUCCGCAUCGGGGGUCGCGGCGGCGGCGGGGUCAGAGGUCGUCCCUGGGUCCCGGAUGCGGCGGAGGGCGUGGCUGAGCGCGCGCUGCGUGUGAGGAUCGCCGAGCCAGCGCCGGAAGAGCUCGUCCACCUUCAGCUGUAGCCGCGGCGUCAGCGGCGCCAUGGCAACCAGAAGGCGCGGGGAGUGAUGGCGUCACCGACGCGACAGAUGUGGGGUGGAGUCGGGCGAAUCCCGGAAGAACGUGCGGCGUAUAACCUCAGUCGGCCGUGGGUUCCACGAGAGGCUGCGUUCCGGGUGAUGGCGACACGGGUUACGCGACAACGGAAGGGGCGUGGUUGCAUCCGCAAACGCUCGGCAGUCACGGUUUCAAAAUAAAAAAUGGAAAAAAAAAAAAAAUCCUUGGCCCGGGCGCAGGCUGAUGGCAUCAGCAAGUCAGGUCGCCGCGUGGAGGCCGUGCGCGCAUGCGCAGUGACUUCCCCCGGCCACGGGCUCGCAUGCGCUGGGGGUGUGCGCCGGCUUGGGGUCCCGAUGCGUAUGCGCGUUGGGUUUCUGUUGCAGGCAGCGCACAUGCGCAUUGCGUUUACUUCCAAGUUGGCUGCACAUGCGUGUCGCAGAAGUGCGGGUCUGGCGAGUACAAAGAAGCCUGGCUUCGCGCAUGCGUAUCGUGACGUAUGACAGCGAGUAUGGCCUGGUGCCAUCAGUCAUCCUGGAAGCUCCGCUCACUUUUAAAAAAUAAUCUCAUUGG
Molecule: long non-coding RNA, 1453 nt
Filed under: Mus musculus (house mouse)
Lineage: Eukaryota; Metazoa; Chordata; Mammalia; Rodentia; Muridae
Description: RIKEN cDNA 4930526I15 gene, transcript variant 2 (4930526I15Rik)
Source: RNAcentral